This 604-nucleotide small RNA is filed under the name Pan troglodytes (chimpanzee). RNAcentral describes it as "retained intron". Lineage: Eukaryota; Metazoa; Chordata; Mammalia; Primates; Hominidae. The record is from RNAcentral.
AGCUUCUGGAGCGCUGGUGGCAGCCACUGCUGGACCCGUUGCGGGCCUGUCUGCCGUUGGGACCCCGGGCGCUGCCCAGUGGCUUCCCCCUUCACACAGACAUCCUCGGGUAGGGCUCGGAUGGAGGGAGUGGGUUGGGGGUCAUGUCCUCUUCCCCAGCCAUGACAUUCCCUUCCCUUUCCCACAGGCUGCUGCUCCUCCACCUGGAACUGAAACGCUGCCUCUUCACCGUGGAGCCCUUGGGGGAUAAAGAGCCUUCACCAGAACAGCGCCGGCGCCUCCUCCGAAACUUCUAUACCCUGGUCACCUCCACGCACUUCCCACCAGGUCAGCGGAAGGCACAGUGCUCCCACUGCGCAGGCGGGGACACUGAGUCCCAGGUCGCACAAAAUGGGAGUAGGAGGUGGGGUUGGAGGAUCCGGAGGAACCCAGUAUGCACUGGGCCUUAGGGCAGUGGUUUUCCUUGAGAUCUGAGCAUUGAUGCAGAUGGGAAGGGUGGGAAGGGAGGUCCCUGCCUGGCUUCAGAAUCUCCUGAAUAGUUAACACUGAGACCUCACCUCUUCCCAGUGCCUUUACACGUAAUGAAAGAAUGAAAUCACUUCAU